Molecule: transfer RNA, 72 nt
Filed under: Limosilactobacillus reuteri
Lineage: Bacteria; Bacillati; Bacillota; Bacilli; Lactobacillales; Lactobacillaceae
Description: Lactobacillus reuteri tRNA-Gly
Rfam family: tRNA
About the family: Transfer RNA (tRNA) molecules are approximately 80 nucleotides in length.
Source: RNAcentral
GCGGAAGUAGGUCAGUGGUAGAACAUCCCCUUGCCAUGGUGGGGGUCGCGGGUUCGACUCCAGUCUUCCGCG